Molecule: long non-coding RNA, 873 nt
Organism: Musa acuminata AAA Group (dessert banana)
Lineage: Eukaryota; Viridiplantae; Streptophyta; Magnoliopsida; Zingiberales; Musaceae
Exons: 3
Source: RefSeq, a predicted model, not a curated record
CAGCAAGAGGGUCCAUUUUGUCAGAAACUUAAUCAGGGAAGUUGCUGGGUUUGCUCCUUAUGAGAAAAGAAUUACGGAGCUUCUCGAAGUCGGAAAGGACAAGCGUGCUCUGAAAGUGGCAAAGCGAAAGUUAGGGACACACAAGAGGGCCAAGAAGAAGCGUGAGGAGAUGGCUAAUGUUCUGAGGAAGAUGAGGUCUGCUGGAGUGAGUGAGAAGAAAAAGUAGUGUGGAUUUGCAGCUAGACAGUUUCGGAAAUAGACGAGGCACUAGGUUCCAAUUCUGUAGGAAACGGUGACAUGAUUUUUGUGUGUUCUGUUCUGUGAGCUUCUACUUAAUCAGACGAUUACUGCUGAAGUAGUUUCUUCGGCCACCAUAAAUUUUGACAUGACAUGAUUUAAUUGCAUCCGAGUUCGUUUAUCUCUGUCAGCAUAUUGUGUGGAUCACCUUAAGUGUGGAGCAGCCAGAUUCGCAAAGACAGCGAAUGCCAUAAUUCAGUAUUUGUGUUUGACUUCUUGAUUAUUUCAUGAGUUCUUUUCCUUAAUUCUCAUAGCAACUUCAUGUAGGGCUGCCCAGGUAAUUCAUCAUAUGCAAUUCUUGAUGCUGGACCUAUGUACACAUUUAUGGAUGUGUUUUUUUUAAGCAACAUUUUUUGGAUGCAUUACCAUAUGACUCUAUAAUGUUCUUUGUCCGAAAAUUAGGUACCUUUUUUGAAGCUAGGGGGAAGCUAAAACCUUCUGUUAUGUAUUUCCAGCGAUAGCUUGAUUGACACGCAAAUGGAAUGAUCUGUUGAGUAGAACAUGGGAAGAGGAUGGUCACCAACCUACUGCAACUUUAAUCCAAAGGAUGCUGCUGUCAUGCACUUUUGACCCCAC